UAAGGGCACAUUUAACUAAGCGGAGAAAUUCUAUUGAAAGGUUCCAGAGUAGGCGCUACAACGCCGAAAUGACCUUCUCACCCUUGUGUACUCACUAUGUUGCUUUGGCGGGUCGACCUGGUUCCGACCCAGGCGGCCGGCGCGCCCAGCCUUAACUGGCCAGGACGCCCGGCUAAGUGCCCGCCAGUAUACAAAACUCAAGAAUUCAUUUUGUGAAGUCCUGAUAUAUCAUUUAAUUGAUUAAAACUUUCAACAACGGAUCUCUUGGUUCUGGCAUCGAUGAAGAACGCAGCGAAAUGCGAUAAGUAAUGUGAAUUGCAGAAUUCAGUGAAUCAUCGAAUCUUUGAACGCACAUUGCGCCCUCUGGUAUUCCGGAGGGCAUGCCUGUUCGAGCGUCAUUUCAACCCUCUAGCUCUGCUUGGUAUUGGGCAACGUCCGCUGCCGGACGUGCCUUGAAGACCUCGGCGACGGCGUCCUAGCCUCGAGCGUAGUANUAAAUAUCUCGCUUUGGAGUGCUGGGCGACGGCCGCCGAACAUCGACCUUCGGUCUAUUUUUCCAGGUUGACCUCGGAUCAGGUAGGGAUACCCGCUGAACUUAAGCAUAUCAAUAGCGGGGGGAAA
This 621-nucleotide ribosomal RNA is filed under the name Phyllosticta capitalensis. RNAcentral's name for it is "eukaryotic LSU rRNA". The stretch from base 245 to 398 matches the Rfam family "5.8S ribosomal RNA". Lineage: Eukaryota; Fungi; Ascomycota; Dothideomycetes; Botryosphaeriales; Phyllostictaceae. The record is from RNAcentral.